Molecule: long non-coding RNA, 3962 nt
Filed under: Mus musculus (house mouse)
Lineage: Eukaryota; Metazoa; Chordata; Mammalia; Rodentia; Muridae
Description: long non-coding RNA chrX:159281209-159285171
Source: RNAcentral
GGUGGGCACUACGUGGUUCUUCAAGGAAAGGUAGCUGCUGGGAAGCUUGACGGCCUUAGUUUAAUCUCUGGGACCCACAUAGUAGAAGAGAAGCCAACUCCUUCAGGUUGCCUCUGACCUUCAUACACACACUGUAGCAUAUAUAAUGCCCCCACUACCACCAAGACCAAUUGAAAUAAACGAUGGGACUAGACAACUAGAUCAAUAGUUAAGAGGAGUUUUUCUUGCAGACCCAUAUUCAGUUCCCAGCACCUAUAUUAGGUGGUUCAGAACUAUCCAGUAAAUCCAGGGGAUGCAACAUAUCUAGCCUCCAUCAGCACCUGCAUACACCUUCACAUACCGACCCACAGACAUGCAGAUAUACGUAACUAAAAAUAAAAUAAAUCUUAAAAAAUCACAAGGACUGAGUGAACAGAAACUUAGCAUGUUUCAACAAUAUGUUGAGGCAUACCUAAAAUACAGCAAAUAUGAAUAGCAUCAAUAAAAGUUUAUUACUUAGGACAAGGGAGGUGAUAUGCCCUUAUUUCUGCAUUUUUAAAAACCAGAGUUAUUGGGCUGGCGAGAUGGCUCAGCAGGUAAGAGCACCGACUGCUCUUCCAAAGGUCCUUAGUUAAAUCCCAGCAACCACAUGGUGGCUCACAACCACCUGUAAUGAGAUCUGACACCCUCUUCUGGUGUGUCUGAAGACAGCUACAGUGUACUUAUGUAUAAUAAUAAAUAAAAUCUAAAAGGAAAAAAACAGAGUUUUAAUGCUGCAUAUGUCUUAAUAUACUACUCUUUAAGAUGAAUCGAGGAUGUGCUCAGAAAAUGGGAUCUCAAGUCUCCUCUAUCUUAAAUGUUUGAAGAAACUUGAGUUAUCUGGAAAAAGAUAAGACUUGGGCAAUUUAUAAGCAUGGAUGUAGAUUUACUUCCAUGACUUUGCAAGGGGUAUUCUAAAGGGAAAUUAAUCUUCAUUUAUUAGUAAUCUUAAUUCAAAUUCAUGACUGAGGAAAAAUUACUGUACAAUGACGAAUUAUGUCUAGCAGUAUUUUUCCAAGGCAAUCUUGUAGUGAUGAGCCUACCUGAUGAGCCUACAUUCUUCUGAGAGAAUUUGAACAUAUUAAGUAAAUUAUUUGCAGUUGAAGCAAAAGACUCCUGAGAUCUCUUACUGAUUAUCAAAAGGACUUUAUGUUGUAUCAUUUUUUCCUUAUGAAGCUAUUUCAUCUUAAUAGUACUUUACAUUGCCAUGGUUAGUUAACAAAGUGCUUUCUUAAGAAUGAUCUAAAUUUUGAGUGGAAUAAUAACCUCUUGAGUAGACAGGACAAGCAAUCCCCAUUUGAACAGAGAAAAUGAUAAGUAUAGGAUAAGUCCAAUUUCCCCAAAUCAUAAGACUUAUGAGUGCCAGGUCUUUACAUAGUCCAAGUUCAGUGCUAUUCCUGUUGUACCAGUUUGCUUUAGAAGUAAAUUCACAGUUGAGAUGGUUGUUUUGCCUACAUCAAAGCUUACAAGGAGCUAAGGGUUCUGAAAUUCUAUCCCAUGGAAAAUAUAAGUGUGCCUCCAAUUAUACCAAGAGUUCUAAAAUCCAAGUGAUAGAGCAAGGUAACUACAAUGACUAGAUGAUGGCAUUCACUAAGAGCAAAUGCAGGAGAGGUAGCAGGUUGGCUGGCCACAGAUGAUGGGAUGACAUCUGGACAUAAUAAAAAGUAACUGACGCUGGCUGUUUAUGGAAUGCCAGAUACUCAGCUUAGGUUUUCAUGGAAUUUAUCUUUCAUCUUCAUAAACCUCGGGAUAAUACUCUCUAAAUUGUCACUUUCCAUGUACAGAAAAUAAACCUUAUGUGAUUUAAAUAGCUCGCCCAAGGCUUCACCAUUAGUAGUAUGAGAAUAGGAAUUUAAAUCUACAUACUUGACUCUAACUCAGUGUUCUUAAGAACUAGUUUAAGGCUUCCUUGGAGUCCCUAGAUUGGAUUAAAAACAAUCAGUAGUCAGUUAAAUAAAAUGUAUACCUUUUAGAAGAAAGGUGUGUCUUGGAGAUAGUUUAGAUGCCCUUACCACAGAAUUGUGGAUAUUGUAGCUUCUGAAAGUGACUCAGGAAAUUAAGAUUUUAUUUACAUGGAACCCCCUCCAUUUCCCUGCAUUCUGGCAUCAAUUUUACCCUUUGUGUUAUUGUAUAGACAACCCGUAGCCUAAGAAUGUAGGUGCCCUUGGUUUUAGUUAGUAGACCUUUCAGGAUGAAAAAUAUGCUUACAUUUAUCUCCAGGUCAGUACCUAGAGCAUGAAUAAAUGAACAACGAAGAAUGGAUGAGUGAAUGGUAAAUAGAGCUAGAUAGCAGGAAUUCACCUUCAGAGAAUCUGCCUUAUGUGAUAUUGGGGGCUACCUUUUAUUGCUUUCCAGUUUAUAAUGUUCCAAAAAUUGCUAACUUAGAUCCUGGUAUAUUUGUUGAAUCAACAAUGAGUUAGAGGGCUUUUGUCCACUGAGGGAGUAAAAGAAGACCCUUUAUAUUCCUGGAUUACCUCGUUUUAAGUUUCUUUUUUCUUUGAGACAUCGGCUUACUAUAAAGCUCAGGCUGGUCUCAAAUUUACAGACCCCCCCCCCUUCCCAAGAUCCCAGGUUCUGAAAUUAUAGGCAUGGUUCAUUACUCCCUACUGGUUUUAUUUUUCAUUUAUACAAAUAAUACAUUUUUAUUAUAAAUACUGUAGAUACAUUACAAAAAUCAAAUAAGCAAAAUAAAAGUCGAAGACAUCUGAAAUUCUGCCAUUCAGAGAUAGCCACUGUUAACAUUUUGAUGUAUAUUCUUUCAGAGUGUUUUCCCAUGCAAAUAUAUACAUGUUUUGAUGUAUAUAUUUGUUUAAAAUGGGUUUGUUAUAAUCCAUAUUGUUUUGUAAACUGCUUUUUCACUUAUUAUAUGUGACUGUCUUUCCAUGUCAAUAAAUUUACAUCUUUAUCAUCAUGUUAAUGACCACAUAGUAUUCCAUUAUAUGGAUGCAUCAAACUAUAUUUAACUAGUUCUCUAUUGUUAGGAAUUUAGGUUUCCAAUUUGGAGUUCUUUUUGGAAAAAAAUGAUGGUGAGCAUCUUGUAUAUACAUCUUUGUAUAUUUGUCUAUUUUAACAGAAGUAGAAUGGAUGGGAACCUUUAAACUUUGAUGUGUGAUAUUUGUUUGUUUUUAAUACAGACUCAGCUUGUCUUCCUGAGAGACUGCUGAUUUAUCUUUCCCCACCAGUCAACCCAGAUUGCUUUUCCCCACGCCCACUGAGUGUUAGGGUCAGUCUUUUUGUAAACUCUUACUGAUUCGGAAGGCCAAGGUAUCUUGGGUUAAAUGCAUUUCUAUGACUGGCACUAAGGCUGAAUUCUUUUUUCCCUUAUUGCUCAUUUCUGUUGAGGUUCAUCGUUUUUUCUUACAGGUUUGUAAAACAAAGAUCUUUAUGUAUCAAGGAUACCAACUCUUUGUCAUGUUGCUUUAGUUUUUUGUAAUCAGUUUGUCUUUUGUUUUCCUUUGUGUCUGACAGAAUAACUUAGAGAUGCAAAUGUCACUUUUUUCUUUUGAUUCCACUCUUAGCUUGCAGCUAGUACUCACCCAGAUUCUAAUGCUUACCUUUUUUGACAUUUGAAUGUUAAGUCCAUCUGGAACUUAUUUUGAUGUAGAGAUUGAGCUUAGCUGUCUCUACAAUCAUUAAUCAGUUUUCUGAUUAAUUAGUAAUGGAAUUGGAGUUUCAAAUGUGUUUUCUGUACCAAGCAUUAUGAAUGAUGUUUGGUAAGGCUUAACUAAGACCAUUUGUAAUGCAUUUACCUACGAAGCAUAAGAGCUCACCUGGAAAGGUGAUUAUUAUUAGUUCCAUGGAAAAAUGCUCAGAUAUUUCACAUAAUUAAAUUACCUAUGAACUCUUGAAACAAAACUUGUUGCAACGUUGCACCUGCAUUCUUAGAUGGUGGUUGUACUUCACUGAAGCCCUUUAGAGGCAGAGAUGUUCUAGAUGGUGGGGUG